GCAGGCUUUAUAGUUUGCCCAACCAGAAAGGGAUAUCUGGUUGGCAGACCUAUACUGUCGCAUGGCAAGCCAUAUAGGACCGAGAUCUGUCAGGUUUCAGCCUAAGUGGAGCCUGCCACAUAGCAAAAUGAAGUUUUGAAUAAUUCUGGACUACCAAGAGGAUGUACAGACUAAUGGCUAAUGAGAAGUUGCAUGGACAUAUGGUAUGCAAUUUCAUGACAUGGUAACUGAUCAAAUUCGGGUCUGAAAUACAGCACGUGGCCAAUCCAGACCAGUCCCUGAAUAUCCAACUUCAGAAUAGUUACAUCAUUCUUCCAAGUGGUGCAACUAGGUGUGCCACCCAUGAAUCUCUUUACCUCUCUUUUUUUUUUUUGUUGAGAAAUUGGUAUGAAUUUAAGCUUAAACAAAGAUGAAGCUGAAAAUGAUUUUGUAGCCUGCUGCAGGGUGGAAAGUGGGUGAGAUAUGGUUAUGAACUUAUGAUAAAGUGAUCGAUGACAAGGGGCAGCUAGGAAGUCUAUCAUACUUGUAACUGAUUAAAGAAAAACACAGACAUCAUCUCA
Long non-coding RNA from Telopea speciosissima, 560 nucleotides. RefSeq lists it as uncharacterized. The record is from RefSeq and is a predicted model, not a curated record. The transcript has 3 exons. NCBI's taxonomy places the organism in Eukaryota, Viridiplantae, Streptophyta, Magnoliopsida, Proteales, Proteaceae.